GACGUAGGGGGCCAGCGUUGCUCGGAAUUACUGGGCGUAAAGGGUGCGUAGGCGGGUCUUUAAGUCAGGGGUGAAAUCCUGGAGCUCAACUCCAGAACUGCCUUUGAUACUGAAGAUCUUGAGUUCGGGAGAGGUGAGUGGAACUGCGAGUGUAGAGGUGAAAUUCGUAGAUAUUCGCAAGAACACCAGUGGCGAAGGCGGCAUCCUGGACCGAUACUGACGCUGAGGAGCGAAAGCCAGGGGAGCAAACGGG
RNAcentral lists this ribosomal RNA (253 nucleotides) under uncultured bacterium. RNAcentral describes it as "partial 16S ribosomal RNA". It matches the Rfam family "Bacterial small subunit ribosomal RNA", at positions 524 to 776 of the family's 1533-position model. The record is from RNAcentral.